GCGGUUAAAGAUGGGCGUGCGCCUGAUUAGAUAGUUGGCGGGGUAACGGCCCACCAAGUCUGCGAUCAGUAACUGGUGUGAGAGCACGACCAGUCACACGGGCACUGAGACACGGGCCCG
Molecule: ribosomal RNA, 120 nt
Filed under: uncultured bacterium
Lineage: Bacteria
Description: partial 16S ribosomal RNA
Rfam family: Bacterial small subunit ribosomal RNA
Source: RNAcentral